RNAcentral lists this long non-coding RNA (211 nucleotides) under Ananas comosus (pineapple). RNAcentral's name for it is "long non-coding RNA (ACOM_LNC009728)". The record is from RNAcentral. Lineage: Eukaryota; Viridiplantae; Streptophyta; Magnoliopsida; Poales; Bromeliaceae.
CCCACAUUCUAAGAAAAUAUAAGAUUCCACAAAAACUUUUAAUUCAAAGCACUGACCGAAAAUGCUUAAGUCAGGUUAUUAUUACUAAGAUUCCUGAAUUUUAUAUUUCUAAUCACAACUUUAUUAUCCAUUUGAUGUAGAACUAUUGGAGUAUCACAGAAACUUUCAUGUUACCAAAAUGAAAUAUAUAGAAAUGCAUAUGAGCAAAAAU